This is a non-coding RNA of Lepus europaeus (European hare), 133 nucleotides long. RefSeq annotates it as small Cajal body-specific RNA 11. The transcript has a single exon. NCBI's taxonomy places the organism in Eukaryota, Metazoa, Chordata, Mammalia, Lagomorpha, Leporidae. The record is from RefSeq and is a predicted model, not a curated record.
GUGGCCUGUCCUUCUCCUGCUCCACAUGCUCAGGUCCUGCAGGGCAGUCUGGCAGGACACACGGCACUGUGCCUCUCAGAGUAGGAGGCCGUCUUAAGAAAGGGGCUGGCUUGAAUGGGCAUGAGAGGACAAU